RNAcentral lists this ribosomal RNA (398 nucleotides) under uncultured bacterium. Its description in RNAcentral is "bacterial SSU rRNA". It matches the Rfam family "Bacterial small subunit ribosomal RNA", at positions 362 to 776 of the family's 1533-position model. The record is from RNAcentral.
UAUUGCACAAUGGGGGAAACCCUGAUGCAGCGACGCCGCGUGAAGGAAGAAGUAUUUCGGUAUGUAAACUUCUAUCAGCAGGGAAGAANAAAGACGGUACCUGACUAAGAAGUCCCGGCUAACUACGUGCCAGCAGCCGCGGUAAUACGUAGGGGGCAAGCGUUAUCCGGAUUUACUGGGUGUAAAGGGAGCGUAGGUGGCAGGGCAAGUCAGAUGUGAAAACCCGGGGCUCAACCCCGGGAGUGCAUUUGAAACUGUCCAGCUGGAGUGCAGGAGAGGUAAGCGGAAUUCCUAGUGUAGCGGUGAAAUGCAUAGAUAUUAGGAGGAACACCAGUGGCGAAGGCGGCUUACUGGACUGUAACUGACACUGAGGCUCGAAAGCGUGGGGAGCAAACAGG